ACUCCUGCGGGAGGCAGCAGUGGGGAAUAUUGCACAAUGGGCGCAAGCCUGAUGCAGCGACGCCGCGUGGGGGAUGAAGGCCUUCGGGUUGUAAACUCCUUUCGCUAGGGACGAAGCUUUUUUGUGACGGUACCUAGAUAAGAAGCACCGGCUAACUACGUGCCAGCAGCCGCGGUAAUACGUAGGGUGCGAGCGUUGUCCGGAAUUACUGGGCGUAAAGGGCUCGUAGGUGGUUUGUCGCGUCGUCUGUGAAAUUCUGGGGCUUAACUCCGGGCGUGCAGGCGAUACGGGCAUAACUUGAGUGCUGUAGGGGUAACUGGAAUUCCUGGUGUAGCGGUGAAAUGCGCAGAUAUCAGGAGGAACACCGAUGGCGAAGGCAGGUUACUGGGCAGUUACUGACGCUGAGGAGCGAAAGCAUGGGUAGCGAACAGGAUUAGAAACCCGGGUAGUCCCA
RNAcentral lists this ribosomal RNA (454 nucleotides) under uncultured organism. RNAcentral's name for it is "partial 16S ribosomal RNA". It matches the Rfam family "Bacterial small subunit ribosomal RNA", at positions 335 to 797 of the family's 1533-position model. The record is from RNAcentral.